Molecule: non-coding RNA, 78 nt
Organism: Eptesicus fuscus (big brown bat)
Lineage: Eukaryota; Metazoa; Chordata; Mammalia; Chiroptera; Vespertilionidae
Source: RefSeq, marked provisional
UAUUCUGACCAAUCAGGACAGUUCUGUUUGAAUCAAUCAAACUGCAAGGAUUUGGAGUCCUCAUUUGCACCAGGACAG